GCCGUGGCUCAGUGGAAGAGCCUCCGGCACGCGGAAGGUCCUCGGUUCGGUCCCUGGCAGCUGCA
RNAcentral lists this transfer RNA (65 nucleotides) under Sphaerodactylus townsendi. RNAcentral describes it as "tRNA-Val". Lineage: Eukaryota; Metazoa; Chordata; Lepidosauria; Squamata; Sphaerodactylidae. The record is from RNAcentral.